This 115-nucleotide ribosomal RNA is filed under the name Lepisosteus oculatus (spotted gar). The record is from RNAcentral. Lineage: Eukaryota; Metazoa; Chordata; Actinopteri; Semionotiformes; Lepisosteidae.
ACCAGCAGCCAUAUCACCUUGCAACUUACAGCUGGCAUCCACUGAAGCUAAGGUGUGAGCCUGGUCAGUACCUGGAUGGGAGACCUCUUGGGAAAAUCUAAGGUUACUGCUGGAA